This 87-nucleotide transfer RNA is filed under the name bacterium. RNAcentral's name for it is "tRNA-Ser". It matches the Rfam family "tRNA". Rfam says of the family: Transfer RNA (tRNA) molecules are approximately 80 nucleotides in length. The record is from RNAcentral. RNAcentral also lists the same sequence under 4 other names.
GGAUGGGUGGCCGAGUGGUUUAAGGCGCCGCACUUGAAAUGCGGUGGGCUAAAAGCCCCGUGGGUUCGAAUCCUACCCCAUCCGCCA